RNAcentral lists this small RNA (217 nucleotides) under Mycolicibacterium iranicum. Its description in RNAcentral is "Mycobacterium iranicum c-di-AMP sequence". It matches the Rfam family "c-di-AMP riboswitch aptamer (ydaO/yuaA leader)". Rfam says of the family: This family represents a conserved RNA structure found upstream of the ydaO and yuaA genes in Bacillus subtilis and related genes in other bacteria. The ydaO/yuaA element is thought to act as a genetic "off" switch for the ydaO and yuaA genes in its native state. Lineage: Bacteria; Bacillati; Actinomycetota; Actinomycetes; Mycobacteriales; Mycobacteriaceae. The record is from RNAcentral.
UCACCAAUUGCGCCGAGCUCCAUCCGUUGGUGUGCGGGGACAACGAGAUACAACCUGGAUGGAGGCGGGGGACCCAACUGGUCCACCGACACAAGGGAGACCUGGAACCGAUUCGGUUCCUUGGGGUGAAGCCGUCGUCGUUACGACGAGGACGGCCGGGCAACCUCUCCAGCCCGAACCCGACAGCUGACCUCGCGGGCGCUUUCAGAGAGGAACC